GGGCGGUUGAGCUCUCCAGGUCUAUCCAUGAGGUGAUUCUUUUCGGUAGUUAUGCUGCAGAGUUGGAAAACUGUGAAAAGGGCAAGGAAGCAUGUAAUUUUCCACAAGAUCUGUUAUGGAGGGAACCUCUAUUUGAUCAACUUAUAGCUAACAUGUAUCAACCAGGUGAGGUGCGACUUUAUCCUUUCACAUAACUGUUUUUUUAGUGGUAAUUGUUGUACCAUGAUAAAUUACAGUGCUACUGA
This 245-nucleotide unclassified non-coding RNA is filed under the name Hevea brasiliensis (rubber tree). The record is from RNAcentral. Lineage: Eukaryota; Viridiplantae; Streptophyta; Magnoliopsida; Malpighiales; Euphorbiaceae.